AGAGGUGUGAGCCACCGUGCCCAGCCUUCAUUAGGCACAUUUUCUAUUGCUCACAUAGCUUCAAGUGACAAUGUUACUAACUUUCUUCCACCACGUAAUAAGGGUUUGUCCCCUUUCCUCCUGCUUCUAAUAAAAAUUUCUCACUUUCCUUUAAGCCCUCACCAGCAACUUCCUUGAGAACUAUCAGACUUCCAUCAACAAUAUCCUCAAAGUCCUUACAAUCUCUACCCAUCUCCCAGUCCUAAAGCCACAUGACUUAGGUUCUGUGAUGGCAGCAUUCCGUUUCUAGGUUAUAGAAAAGUCUGCAUCAGCUAUCUAUUGCAUGAUAAGAAACCAUCCCCAAACAGUGGUCUUAAGACAACAACAAUCAUUUAUUUUGUUCCUGAAAUUUGAGGGUUGACAGAGACUAAGCUAGGCAGUUCUCACUCAGGGUGUCUCAUGAGUUUGCAGUCAAUUGGUGGCUGGGGCUGAGGUCAGCUCAAAUGCUGGGGUCUAGACUAGGAGGUUCACACUGCUUGGGGCUGGAUGGCUGGAACUCCUCAGGAAUCUCUCACUUUAAAUGCAGUCCCUCUACAAGGCAGCCUCAGGGUAGCUGAGUUUCUUUCACAGCAGCUGAAGCCUCCCGACAUGAGUGUCCCUAAAGGAAUCAUCAGAAGCUGCAGGGUCUUUUCUAACCUAGCCUUGGAAAUCACACAGUGUCACUUUUGCCACAUUCUAUUUGUCUAGGCACUCCCACAUUUCCACCCAGGUUCAAAGGGAGGGGACAUAGGCUCCACUUCUUGAUGGAAAGAGAGUCAAAGGAUUGUGUACACGUUUUAAAACACACAAAUGUUUAAGUAAUAUGUCCAAGGCCAAAUAGCUGGAAAGUGACAGAGUUGAGGUUUGAACCCAGGCAUUCUGAUUCUAGACUCACAUUCUCAACUGCUAGUCUACACUGCCUCCUGUAAGUUGUAGACACAAAUGGUCUACAUGAUGCAGAAGUUGGGGAGACAGGGGUUCCCUGGCUUGGGAAAGUUACUGUCUUGCUUUUCUGUACUCACCUUCCUUUCAGAAAGGUAGUAGGACUCAUAUUACCUUCUUCUGGGGUGGAGUGGCUUCCUGACUGUAAAAUGAAUGAACAAAUCAGAGCUGGAGCAGCCUCCUCUCAAGGAAUUAUCUCUUCCUUGAGAUCAUUUUCUUCCCAUGGCCAUCAGUGCCUUGACUGGUUUCCAUGUCACUCUCAUUGUGGCCUUCAGACACCUCCUUGUCAUCUGUUCCUGUGAUCUUGCUCUUAACUUCUCACCACUAGUUUUUUAGUUUUUUUCACAGGGGGAUGGAAGAGUACCCUUUGGCAUUUCUUUCUUUCUUUCUUUUUUUUCUUUUUUUUUUGUGCUAGGAUUACAGGCGUGAGCCACCACCCCUGGCCUAUCCUUUGACAUUUCAAGAAUGUCUGCCAGCCUGUUUGGAGGAAGGCAUCCUUUCAAGCCUGAAGAUCAUUCAUCAGAAGAUGAGGCUUCUGUGGACUUUAUCAGGCCAGAGAGUUUUUCUACAUUUCCUUUAAGUCUUGACUUUGAGCAGGUUUGACUUUUAACAUCUUUGUCAUGAGCCUUAAAGUCCAGAAUAGGACUUGCAUGAUAGUCCAUGUCCCGUGAAUCUUGUCUGGAAUAGCCCUUCAUAUUCUGAACAAUGCCUAGCUGCAGAAGACAGAUCAUCCCAAAAGCACAUGGUGGACAGGUGUAAGGCCGCCAUAAAUGGGGAUGUCAUCUGUGCAAUGCACAAAAGGGCUGGGCCAAGGAAGUGAGCAGAGUAUGGCCUGAAACCCAGCCCGUGCUCCACUGGCCAAACCUUCCACCCUCGUUAGAGGCUGUGUCCGCCUGAAGGAAAGAACAGCUUUUUCUUGCUUGUCCACCCAGAGUCAGGC
RNAcentral lists this long non-coding RNA (1900 nucleotides) under Homo sapiens (human). RNAcentral's name for it is "non-protein coding lnc-MTA3-11:1". The record is from RNAcentral. Lineage: Eukaryota; Metazoa; Chordata; Mammalia; Primates; Hominidae.